CCUACGGGGGGCAGCAGUGGGGAAUAUUGCACAAUGGGGGAAACCCUGAUGCAGCGACGCCGCGUGAGUGAAGAAGUAUUUCGGUACGUAAAGCUCUAUCAGCAGGGAAGAAAAUGACGGUACCUGACUAAGAAGCCCCGGCUAACUACGUGCCAGCAGCCGCGGUAAUACGUAGGGGGCAAGCGUUAUCCGGAUUUACUGGGUGUAAAGGGAGCGUAGACGGCAGCGCAAGUCUGGAGUGAAAUCCCAUGGCUUAACCAUGGAACUGCUUUUGAAACUGUGCAGCUAGAGUGCAGGAGAGGUAAGCGGAAUUCCUAGUGUAGCGGUGAAAUGCGUAGAGAUUAGGAGGAACACCAGUGGCGAAGGCGGCUUACUGGACUGUAACUGACGUUGAGGCUCGAAAGCGUGGGGAGCAAACAGGAUUAGAUACCCCAGUAGUC
Molecule: ribosomal RNA, 440 nt
Filed under: uncultured bacterium
Lineage: Bacteria
Description: partial 16S ribosomal RNA
Rfam family: Bacterial small subunit ribosomal RNA
Source: RNAcentral